CGACGCCGCGUGGGGAUGAAGGUCUUCGGAUUGUAAACCCCUGUCAUCCGGGAACAAUGGCUACGACCUAACACGUCGUGACUUGAUAGUACCGGAAGAGGAAGCCGUGGCUAACUCUGUGCCAGCAGCCGCGGUAAUACAGAGACGGCUAGCGUUGCUCGGAUUCAUUGGGCGUAAAGGGUUCGCAGGCGGUCGGGCAAGUCGGAUGUGAAAGCCCACGGCUUAACCGUGGAGAGUCAUUCGAAACUGCUCGACUGGAGGACUGGAGAGGAGACUGGAAUGGUCGGUGUAGCGGUGAAAUGCGUAGAGAUCGACCAGAACACCAGUGGCGAAGGCGGGUCUCUGGCCAGUUCCUGACGCUCAGGAACGAAAGCGUGGGGAGCAAACGGGAUUAGAUACCCCGGUAGUCCACGCCCUAAGCUGUGCUCACUUGCUGUGAGGGGAGUCGACCCCCCUUGUGGCGAAGCCAACGCGUUAAGUGAGCCGCCUGGGGACUACGGCCGCAAGGUUA
This 511-nucleotide ribosomal RNA is filed under the name uncultured bacterium. Its description in RNAcentral is "bacterial SSU rRNA". It matches the Rfam family "Bacterial small subunit ribosomal RNA", at positions 392 to 896 of the family's 1533-position model. The record is from RNAcentral.